GCGAAAUUUGUCAGUUGCUAAGUUAAUUCUCGUUCACAUAUACAUAUAUAUAUGGAAAUAUUAAAAUUCAAAGCAAAUACUUUCUAACUUCAUAACGUAGGUAGCGCAGGAGUGGAACAAAACAAAACAUGUUAACCACAAUGGGCUAAAAUCGUCACCUUGACCAUAUCAUCGCCGGACUUUAUGUGUACGGAGAUUAAAUAGUCCAAAAAUGGCCACAGCGGUUACAAAGCUCAAUAUAUACUCGAAUAUUACUAUAAAUUUUAACACAUGUAUAAAUCACUGGCCGCAGUCGAAGAUGGAUGAACCAAAGAUUCAAAAUCCUACUUUUUUUGGGCGAUGAACCAGUGGCCGAAAACCAGCGACGGUCUUGACGGUCCUGAACCCGAGACCUAUCGCGGAAAAUCGCGCUUACAUUUGCUUCUUAUGUUAAACAUCUACAGGAUAUGGUGGUGAAUAUCAGUUGUAGAAAUGCCAGGUCAGAAGCCACGAAGAUAUGGUGCAAUCAGUUCGCUGGGAAAACUAUAAUUUCCGCACACUGACCGAUAAAUUAAUGGAAAUCGUUGAGUCUCACAGUCGGAUGCCCAGGAGCUUAACUUUCCACAGAAAAACAGUUUCAAACUAUUUGAAAAUGCAGGAUAUUCAGAGGAACUAAAUUUAUGGAUAACACAUGAGUAAUGAAGUGGAAAACAUAUGAGCCGAAUUUCGAUCAACGAUUUACUGCUAAAUCGUGACACCAGCGUUUGAUUGAUGACCAUGAGAUUUUUUCUUGCUUAUUUGGUAGGUCGACUAUGAGCUGCUUCCUCACGGUCACACUCUUUACACGGACCUGAACGGUCAGCAAUGGAACCGCCAAAAGCAAGGAACUCGUCACAUAUUCCGAUGGCUUGGUUGGGAGCUUAUUAUGUAUCCACUACAUGAUUCAGACCUCGCAUCACUAUUAAUAAAAUGAAUGCAGUAAUGGCCUUACAAAAACUUGAGUAAACUUUUAUUAAAUCAAAUUAAGAAUUUCAAUUUGAAAUAUUUUA
Molecule: long non-coding RNA, 1028 nt
Organism: Ceratitis capitata (Mediterranean fruit fly)
Lineage: Eukaryota; Metazoa; Arthropoda; Insecta; Diptera; Tephritidae
Exons: 3
Source: RefSeq, a predicted model, not a curated record